This is a long non-coding RNA of Oncorhynchus keta (chum salmon), 2474 nucleotides long. RefSeq lists it as uncharacterized. NCBI's taxonomy places the organism in Eukaryota, Metazoa, Chordata, Actinopteri, Salmoniformes, Salmonidae. The transcript has 4 exons. The record is from RefSeq and is a predicted model, not a curated record.
GUGGUGGUAUGUAAACAGCUACAAAGUACAAAUUAAAACUCUCUUGGUAGGUAGUGUGGUCUACAGCUUAUCAUGAGAUACUCUACGUCAGGCAAGCAAUAGCUUGAGACUUCCUUAGAUAUCGUGCACCAGCUGUUGUUUACAAAAAUACAAAGACCGCCGCCCCUUGUCUUACCAGAUGCCGCUGUUCUAUCCUUCCCGAUACAUCAUAUAACCAACCAGCUGUAUGUUGAUAUUAUCGUCAUUGAGCCACGACUCCGUGAAGCAUAAGAUGUUACAGUUUUUAAUGUCCCGUUGGUAGUUUAAUCGUCUGUGUAACUUGUCAAUUAUUGUCCAAAGAUUGCACGUUUGCUAGCAGAAUGGAGGGAAAUGGGGGUUAAUUUGAUUGCCUAUGAAUUCUCAGAAGGCAGCCCGACCUGCGGCCACUCUUUCUCCGUCUCCUCUUCACGGGGAUUAGGGAAGCAGUGUAUCCUUCGCGUCGGGCUUGUCAGAGUCGUUAGAGUCAUGAAGGAAAAAGAGGAUUCUGCUAGUCCGUGGUGAGUAAAUCACAGUCCUGAUGUCUUGAAGCUAUUUUCGGUCAUAAAAGACGGUAGCGGGAACAUUAUGUACAAAAUAAGUAAAAAAACAAGUUACAAACAAUGCAAAUAAACAAAUGAAAAACACAAUCGGCUGGGGGCACGUAAAACGUCUACCAUCUAAUUCCGGCUCCAUUUUACACAUCUUGCUCCUACCGUCCUAUAGGCAGAAACUCAAACAGGAUGUACCUGUGACUAGAACUAUUCAAUGCUGGUCUGACCAAUCGGAUAAUACAUUGCCGGUGAUGCAGCCCGCUUCCAAGGACUCGGGGCUGCCCCUCUCCUUCUUCGUGGCCGACGUGAACGCGUUAACCCUCGUAAGGCUGCUGGCCCAGACAGAAUCCCUAACCCCGUCCACAGGCUGCUGGCCCAGACAGCAUCCCUAACCCCGUCCACAGGCUGCUGGCCCAGACAGCAUCCCUAACCCCGUCCACAGGCUGCUGGCCCAGACAGAAUCCCUAACCCCGUCCACAGGCUGCUGGCCCAGACAGCAUCCCUAACCUUGUCCACAGGCUGCUGGCCCAGACAGCAUCCCUAACCCCGUCCACAGGCUGCUGGCCCAGACAGCAUCCCUAACCCCAUCCACAGGCUGCUGGCCCAGACAGAAUCCCUAACCCCGUCCACAGGCUGCUGGCCCAGACAGCAUCCCUAACCCCGUCCACAGGCUGCUGGCCCAGACAGCAUCCCUAACCCCGUCCACAGGCUGCUGGCCCAGACAGCAUCCCUAACUCCGUCCACAGGCUGCUGCCCCAGACAGCAUCCCUAACCCCGUCCACAGGCUGCUGGCCCAGACAGCAUCCCUAACCCCAUCCACAGGCUGCUGGCCCAGACAGCAUCCCUAACCCCGUCCACAGAGCAUGUUCAGACCAGCUGGCUGGUGUAUUUACGGACAUAUUCAAUCGCUCCCUAUCCCAGUCUGCUGUCUAAAUGACUAAAAGACUUCUCAGCUUUUUAUUUUGAAUACAUUUUUAAAGUAUUGAGUGUAGAUCAGUGACAAAACAUCUACGUUUAGGGGGACUGAAUAGUUUCUGAAGGCACUGUAUUUCCAAUAACCACAGAUGUUUGAAGCUGGUGUACAAAACAGAACGUUCACAGACGCCAAACUUAAGGGCAGGACGCAUAAAAAGAGAGCUCAUGGAACUGAUAGACUUCAAUGAGAACCUCAAUCUAUGUGAAUUUUGUCUGGUUUCCCAUAAAGCAACAUACUGGACCUUUAAAGUGUGUGUGCCAGUAGAUACCACGGUAGAGGCUCAGCCAGAGAGAGCUGGAGAGACAGACAUGACAGAUUCCAGGAAGUGGCUGAGCUGGAGAGACAGACAUGACAGAAGGAGGUGGCUGAGCUGGAGAGACAGACAUGACAGAAGGAGGUGGCUGAGCUGGAGAGACAGACAUGACAGAAGGAGGUGGCUGAGCUGGAGAGACAGACAUGACAGAAGGAGGUGGCUGAGCUGGAGAGACAGACAUGACAGAAGGAGGUGGCUGAGCUGGAGAGACAGACAUGACAGAAGGAGGUGGCUGAGCUGGAGAGACAGACAUGACAGAAGGAGGUGGCUGAGCUGGAGAGACAGACAUGACAGAAGGAGGUGGCUGAGCUGGAGAGACAGACAUGACAGAAGGAGGUGGCUGAGCUGGAGAGACAGACAUGACAGAAGGAGGUGGCUGAGCUGGAGAGACAGACAUGACAGAAGGAGGUGGCUGAGCUGGAGAGACAGACAUGACAGAAGGAGGUGGCUGAGCUGGAGAGACAGACAUGACAGAAGGAGGUGGCUGAGCUGGAGAGACAGACAUGACAGAAGGAGGUGGCUGAGCUGGAGAGACAGACAUGACAGAAGGAGGUGGCUGAGCUGGAGAGACAGACAUGACAGAUAGGGAGGAGGUGGCUGAGCUGAGAGACAGACA